Molecule: long non-coding RNA, 352 nt
Organism: Sinocyclocheilus grahami
Lineage: Eukaryota; Metazoa; Chordata; Actinopteri; Cypriniformes; Cyprinidae
Exons: 3
Source: RefSeq, a predicted model, not a curated record
UAGAUCUGCUGGAUAAUUACUAUACUAGCACUGUGAUCAUCACAAACAGAGCCGACUGCUGUCCAGAACGACUCGACGGAGCAGAGAUUCGCAUUGGAAACUCCCUGGAAAACAAUGGCAACAACAAUCCCAUAUGUGCUAUGAUUACUAGUAUUCCAAUAGGAGCAUCCCACAGCUACUCGUGUCCCGAUAUGGAGGGACGUUACGUGAACAUCAUUGUUCCUGGAGAUAGGUAUCUUACGCUCUGUGAGGUUGAAGUCUAUAGGGGUUUUCCAGUGAUAAACUUUGUGAGGAUGAAAUUUGCCUCCAAUACUGAUUUAGCUGGCCCAGAGAGUGACAAACUCCUCUAUCA